UUAAAUUGAAGAGUUUGAUCAUGGCUCAGAUUGAACGCUGGCGGCAGGCCUAACACAUGCAAGUCGAACGGUAACAGGAAGCAGCUUGCUGCUUCGCUGACGAGUGGCGGACGGG
This 115-nucleotide ribosomal RNA is filed under the name Enterobacter cloacae. RNAcentral's name for it is "partial 16S ribosomal RNA". It matches the Rfam family "Bacterial small subunit ribosomal RNA", at positions 1 to 106 of the family's 1533-position model. The record is from RNAcentral. Lineage: Bacteria; Pseudomonadati; Pseudomonadota; Gammaproteobacteria; Enterobacterales; Enterobacteriaceae. RNAcentral also lists the same sequence under 53 other names.